AUGGGAAACAGGGUGAAGUAGAGAAGCAGGACCCGGCGGCGGCAAGCACUCUUCCCUUUCCUGCUGCCUUUGUUCUGCGGGGCACCCUCGGAGAAGAUCUGCUACUCUAUUCCAGAAGAAACGGUCCAGGGCUCCAUGGUGGGGAACCUUGCUGAGGACAUGGGGCUGCAUGUUCAGGAUUUAUUGACCUGAAACCUUAGAGUUAGUGCAGAGAAACAAUACUUUACCAUGAACAUGGAGAAUGGGAACAUACUUGUGAGUGACAAAAUAGAUUGAGAGUCACUGUCCUCAAAAUCCUCCGUGUCAUACCCUUAGAGAUUGUAGCAGAGAAUCCUCUAAAUGUUUUUCACAUAAAUGUGAUGAUAGAAGAUAUAAAUGAUAAUCCACCUCAUUUUCCCCAAAAUAGCAUUGUUUUACAAAUCAAUGAACUAGCAAUUCCAUGCAUUCGGUUUGGCCUGGAAUCUGCUAUAGAUGCAGAGGUAGGGCCUCACUCUCUCCAGAGUUACCAGCUCAGUUCUAAUGAACAUUUCUCUCUGAUGAUGGACAACACUAAUGGCAAGAAUGCCCCAGAAGCCCCUGGACCAGGAGCAACAGAGCUCUCAUCUCCUGGUCCUGAAAGCAAUGGACGUGGGUGACCCAGUCCUAAAUGGCACUGCUGCAAUUCAAAUUGAGGUCACUGAUGCCAACAAUAAUGCCCCAGUUUUUAGUCAGGAUGUAUACAAAGUCAGCCUUAGAGAGAAUGUGCCCCCAGGCACCUCUGUACAGCCACUGACCAGGAUGAAGGUGUCAAUGCGGAGAUCACCUACUCUUUCAAAUCCCUGCGAGAUGAUAUUGGAAAUAUGUUUGUGCUAGACCAUCAAAAUGGGGAAAUUAAAUCCAAAGACUUAAUAGACUUCGAAAUUCGUAGCAGUUAUACCAUGAGCAUAGAAGCUAAGGAUGGUGGAAGCAUGACCAGCGAAUGUAAAAUUAUACUAGAAAUCCUAGAUGAGAACGACAAUGCCCCAGACGUGGUUUUUACUUCAGUGUCCAGUUCUGUAACUGAGGAUGCAGAACCCUGGACGGUGAUCACUCUGUUCAAAACACAUGAUAAAGAUUCGAGAGAAAAUGGAGAGGUUACAUGCCUCAUAAACGAAAGAGUUCCUUUUAGUAUCUAAUCUUCCACCAAUAAUUACUAUAAGCUUGUAACAGAUGGGACCCUGGAUUGGGAGUGGAUCCCGGAGUACAACGUCACCAUCACUGCCACUGACAGGGGCAAGCCUCCACUCUCAUCCAGCACAAGCGUCACCCUACGCAUUGGUAAAGUCAACGACAAUGCUCCGGUUUUCCACCAGGUCUCCUACGUGGUCCACGUGGCCGAAAACAACCUUCCCGGAGCCUCCAUGGCAUAAGUCAGCGCCUCUGACCUGGACCUAGGGCUGAAUGGCCAAGUCUCCUAUACCAUCGUUACCAGUGACUUGGAGCUGCGGGCACUGUCGUCCUACGUGUCGGUGAGCGCACAGAGCGGGGUGGUGGUCGCGCAGCCCGCCUUCGACCACGAGCAGCUGUGCGCCUUUGAGCUCACGAUGCAGACCCACGACCAGGGCUCGCCCGCGCUCAGCGCCAACGUGAGCCUGCGCAUGUUGGUGGGCGACCUCAAUGACAAUGUGCCGCAGGUGCUGUACCCCGCGCUGGGGCCCGAUGCCUCCGCACUCUUCGAUAUGGUGCCACGCGCCGCAGAGUCCGGCUACCUGGUGACCAGGGUGGUGGUGGUGGACGCAGAUUCGGGACACAACGCUUGGCUGUCCUACCACGUGCUGCAGGCCAUUGAGCCCAGGCUUUUCAGCCUGGGGCUGCACACGGGCAACCUGCUGGUUGCUGUGCGUGACGGAGGAAAGCCGCCGCUCUGCACCGCUACGCUUCACCUAGUCUUCGCAGACAGCCUGCAGGAGGCACUGCCAGACUUCAGUGA
RNAcentral lists this small RNA (1948 nucleotides) under Pongo abelii (Sumatran orangutan). RNAcentral describes it as "processed transcript". Lineage: Eukaryota; Metazoa; Chordata; Mammalia; Primates; Hominidae. The record is from RNAcentral.